Long non-coding RNA from Euleptes europaea (tarantolino), 152 nucleotides. RefSeq lists it as uncharacterized. Lineage: Eukaryota; Metazoa; Chordata; Lepidosauria; Squamata; Sphaerodactylidae. The transcript is spliced from 2 exons. The record is from RefSeq and is a predicted model, not a curated record.
GAUACAACAAUGAAAGGGAAAUGAGCUUGAUGGAAGAGUACUCGAGCUCAGUUAAUCCUGCUGUCAGUUGGUGUUAAGGCAGCGAUCUAAGCGCUGGAUUCCAAGAGGAAGACACACACACACACAGCACCGUAGACGGAAGCAAGGACCCC